Molecule: ribosomal RNA, 732 nt
Filed under: Rhodococcoides fascians
Lineage: Bacteria; Bacillati; Actinomycetota; Actinomycetes; Mycobacteriales; Nocardiaceae
Description: bacterial SSU rRNA
Rfam family: Bacterial small subunit ribosomal RNA
Source: RNAcentral
UUUCGGGGUACACGAGCGGCGAACGGGUGAGUAACACGUGGGUGAUCUGCCCUGCACUCUGGGAUAAGCUUGGGAAACUGGGUCUAAUACCGGAUAUGACCGCAGCAUGCAUGUGUUGUGGUGGAAAGAUUUAUCGGUGCAGGAUGGGCCCGCGGCCUAUCAGCUUGUUGGUGGGGUAAUGGCCUACCAAGGCGACGACGGGUAGCCGACCUGAGAGGGUGACCGGCCACACUGGGACUGAGACACGGCCCAGACUCCUACGGGAGGCAGCAGUGGGGAAUAUUGCACAAUGGGCGGAAGCCUGAUGCAGCGACGCCGCGUGAGGGAUGAAGGCCUUCGGGUUGUAAACCUCUUUCAGCAGGGACGAAGCGUGAGUGACGGUACCUGCAGAAGAAGCACCGGCUAACUACGUGCCAGCAGCCGCGGUAAUACGUAGGGUGCGAGCGUUGUCCGGAAUUACUGGGCGUAAAGAGUUCGUAGGCGGUUUGUCGCGUCGUUUGUGAAAACCCGGGGCUCAACUUCGGGCUUGCAGGCGAUACGGGCAGACUUGAGUGUUUCAGGGGAGACUGGAAUUCCUGGUGUAGCGGUGAAAUGCGCAGAUAUCAGGAGGAACACCGGUGGCGAAGGCGGGUCUCUGGGAAACAACUGACGCUGAGGAACGAAAGCGUGGGUAGCAAACAGGAUUAGAUACCCUGGUAGUCCACGCCGUAAACGGUGGGCGCUAGGUGUGGG